UAAAAACUUAUUUAAAUGUUUUAUAGUAAUUUAAUAAGUAUAAGAAAAAUAAUUUUAUAAAAGAAAUAUUAAGUAAUUUUUAGUGAAAUAUAAGUUGAAAUUAUAGAUAAUAAGUACUGUAAAGGAAAGUGUAAUGUAAGGAAAUUUUUUAUAGUAGAUUUAAGUUUUCGUAUUUUGUGUAUCAAAGAGAAUUUAUAUAAGCUAUUUAUUUUUAGAUAUCUCGAAAUAAAAAUAGCUAAUUUUAUAUAAAAGUUUUUGUGGAAAAUAAAUUUUUAAUAUAAAAUUUAAGAUGAUAUGUUAAUCGAGUUUUAUUAUAUCUGGUUUUUUAAAAAUAAAUUUAAUUUAAUUUUUGUAAGUGAUUUUAUACAAAAUUUAAGUGUAGGAGGGAUUAGCUUCUUAUAAAAUAGGAUAAUGAAAAGUUAAAUUAUUAAGGUGUUAUUGAAUUAGGCUUAAGAGUAGCUAUAUUUGUAAAGUGUUUUAACUAAACUUUAUAUAAAAAAUAUUUAUUAAAACUUUUAAUUAAUAUUAAAAAAUGAGUUUAAAUUAUAGAGAUUUAAAUAUAAUGAUUUUAUUAGUAUAAAUUUUUGUUUUAGUUAAUAAUUAAAAUAGUAAAUUAUUUUUAUUAAUUAAUGUAAUGGUAAUAUAAAGGAAUUCGGCAAAUAUUUUCUUUGCCUGUUUAUCAAAAACAUGUCUGUUUGGAGAUAUAAAAAGUUUAACCUGCCCACUGAAAAAAUAAUUUAAAGGGCCGCGGUAUUCUGACCGUGCAAAGGUAGCAUAAUCGUUAGUUUUUUAAUUGGAAUCUUGUAUGAAUGGUUGGACAAAAGAAAGUCUGUCUCUGUAUUAUUAGUUGAAUUUAACUUUUGAGUGAAAAGGCUUAAAUGAAUUAAAGGGACGAUAAGACCCUAUAAAGCUUAAUAUUAAAAUAUUAUUAGGUUGAAUUUUAUAUAUUAUAAAAAUUUAAUAAUAAAAUUUAUUAUAUUGGGGCGAUAAUAGUAAAAAGAUUAUUAACUGCUUAAUUUUUAAUACAAAUAUAAAUGAAAUAUUAUAAAUGAUCCUAAUUAAAGAUUAAAAGUUUAAGUUACUUUAGGGAUAACAGCGUUAUUUUUUUUGAGAGUUCUUAUCGAAAAAAAAGUUUGCGACCUCGAUGUUGAAUCAAAAUAUCUAUAUAAUUGCAGAAGUUAUAUAAGAAGGUCUGUUCGACCUUUAAAUUUUUACGUGAUUUGAGUUCAGACCGGCGUGAGCCAGGUCGGUUUCUAUCUUUUAGUAAGUAAAAAAUUAUUUUAGUACGAAAGGAUUUAAUAAUUGAAAUUAUUUUUAAAUAGUUGAUUU
Molecule: ribosomal RNA, 1329 nt
Filed under: Gecarcoidea lalandii
Lineage: Eukaryota; Metazoa; Arthropoda; Malacostraca; Decapoda; Gecarcinidae
Description: 16S ribosomal RNA
Rfam family: Bacterial large subunit ribosomal RNA (bases 1089-1248)
Source: RNAcentral